This 396-nucleotide ribosomal RNA is filed under the name uncultured bacterium. RNAcentral's name for it is "partial 16S ribosomal RNA". It matches the Rfam family "Bacterial small subunit ribosomal RNA", at positions 360 to 773 of the family's 1533-position model. The record is from RNAcentral.
AAUAUUGGACAAUGGGGGCAACCCUGAUCCAGCCAUGCCGCGUGAGUGAUGAAGGCCUUAGGGUUGUAAAGCUCUUUCAGUGGGGAAGAUAAUGACGGUACCCACACAAGAAGCACCGGCUAACUUCGUGCCAGCAGCAGCGGGAAUACGUAGGGGGCUAGCGUUGUUCGGAUUUACUGGGCGUAAAGCGCACGUAGGCGGAUUUGUCAGUUAGGGGUGAAGUCCCGGAGCUCAACUCCGGAACUGCCUUUAAUACUGCCAGUCUAGAGUCCGAGAGAGGUGAGUGGAACUCCUAGUGUAGAGGUGGAAUUCGUAGAUAUUAGGAAGAGCACCAGUGGCGAAGGCGGCUUACUGGCUCGGUACUGACGCUGAGGUGCGAAAGCGUGGGGAGCAAAC